Acinonyx jubatus (cheetah) is the source of this 9180-nucleotide long non-coding RNA. RefSeq lists it as uncharacterized. The transcript has 3 exons. NCBI's taxonomy places the organism in Eukaryota, Metazoa, Chordata, Mammalia, Carnivora, Felidae. The record is from RefSeq and is a predicted model, not a curated record.
UUUUUUUUUUUUUUACUAUCAGCUUGCAAGGAAGCUGAAAAUGUCAAAAUACAAAAGCCUCUCUUACCAAUAUAGACAUUUUGUAUAAUAGAAUGAGAGAAAAUUUUUCCCUCCUACCUCAGCCUCUUCCAUUCUGCCCAGAUUCUAGGCCUCUCUUUGCAGAACUAAAAAGGCCACUAAAUCAAUUCUCUAAACCAAAGAACACUCAUUUCCCCAGAGUGAAUUUGGCCAUUACCCCUCAGAAUAGUUUUAGAAUUCCCUUAGUGUCUUCCCUUUAGUAGAUUUGUGUGGAACUAGGUAAUGUUUGAAAGUUCUUUCUCAACCUAACUGGAGCUCCCAGACUUUGUGGUGGACUUCCUGGCACUGUGGAGGACUUUACUGCAUGUUAGGCACUUCAGGAAGAAUGACACCCUUCUAGAGUCAACAUAUUAUUUGAGGAUUUGAUAACUUCAGAGGCAGUGGGUAAUUAGGACAAAGGAAAAUGGGGAAGGAGAAGCAUAAUUCAUUAAUUAAUUCAUUCAACACAUGUUUAUUGAGUACUUACAAUGGGCUGGGCACUCUUCUAGGCCCUAAGGAAAUGAUAGUUAUCAGAUCAGACAAAAUCCCUGCUUUCAAGGAGCUUAUAUUCUAGUGGAGGAAGACAGACAAUAAAUAGAUAUAUAGCCUGUCAAUGGGGAAUAAGAACCAGGAAAAAAUAAGAGUAAGAGAAUAAAAAGUAAUAAGAGGUAGAGGCUGCUAUGUAUUUUAGGUAUGAUGGAAAUAUCUCUGAUAGGAUGAUACUUUAGUAAAGACCUGAAGGAAAUGAUGGGGUGAGCCACAUGGAUGUCCUCGGGAGAAGAGUAUUCCACACAGAGGAACAGCAAGUGUAGAAGUCCUGAGGCAGGAGUAUGGGGGUGUUGGAAGACCAUUGAGGCCAUGAAGGCCAUAGUGGAAUAGCAAGGGAGAGAGAAUGCUAUGAAUACAGUCAGAGAGGAGCUGGGAACAAGUCCAUAAUGACCUUAACAGCCAAAUAAGGACUUUUUGUUUUAUUCUAGAUGAGUUUACAAGAAGUAACAGGUAUGGAGAGUAGACACAAUGGCAAUCUCAAAGAAUUGGCUUUUCAUGUGCUUGGGUAUUAUGUUUUUUAACAUUAAAUGGAAGAUUUCAUGAAGGCCCCCUGAGCUGGCCUUUGCCAACUCUCAGCUCCUGCAGAGAAAGUGCUUGGUGUAGGUAGAAGAAAAGGUGGUUUUUGUUUUUUGUCUCCUCCCCAGCUCUGCCCAGGAAUCCUAUGGCCCUACUCACUUUCUAUUUCAGGGGAGCAGCCCCUGCUGACUGGUUGCCAUUAGGACCAUCUAGCCCAGAACUGUGGAGGGUGGGGCGGAACUGCUGUCAUAGCCGGGCUGACAUUGUGCUGAACAGUCUGCUCACCCUUAAUGACAGGUUGGCAACCAUCAAAGAUGGAGAAAUAUAAGCACAUUUGAAGGAAAUGUUUCAUAUCUUUACAACGGCAUGAUUUUUCAGUUACAGAGAAGGUGAAGUAAUGAUGUCAUCUAGGGAGGUUGCCUGCCAAACAGGCCCUCAUAGGUGUGUCUGUGAGUGUGUUUGUGUGUGCAUCUGCAUGUUGUAAAUAUUUCAUACGUGUGAUUGUGUGUAUGUGUGUGUGUGUGUGUGUGUGUGUGUGUGUGUGUGUGUGUCUUAGCAGGGCUGUGUGUGUGGCCAGAAGUGUCAUUACAAUUCAGAGCUUGCUUUCCCAUUGAAGAUCUAGGAACUGGAUUUGUCAGAGCUCCCAAGGGUUGUUAGGUUCAGAGGGACUCACCCACAUUAAUCGAGCCCACAAAAGACUUAUUAAGUAAUUUAGAACACCAUUUGCUUAAUUUAUAGUCAGAAAUCAAAUUAUCAAAGGGAGUGAUGACCACAUCCCUGCUGGUCACGGGAUUCUCUCUCUAGGCCCCUGAGGAGAAUUAACAUAUUUUCCCCCCGGGGAAGCCCUAUGACACUCAAAAGAUUGUUUGGUGAUCAAGGCAAAUUAUGUGAAUGAUCUUAAUGACCAGCAUUAUUAAACUGCCAUGACAAGCCAUGGGCCCAAACAUUUGGGUUUACUGCUCUAAGUACUUUCUCUCUGCAUAGCAUUGGGCUUCCCUAAAUCCUGUCCUUCGAGGGCUAUUCAGUCCAGUUGCUUACAUUACCAUUAAGAAAAAAUGUUGCCUUAAGACCAUUUCCCAGGCUAUAGAUUUUUUCUUCAUUUGGUAAAUAAUUGAUUCGAUUUUUAAGCCCUGUUCCUCCUCCUUUUGAUCUGAAGAAUAUCAUGCCUGUUACGAUGACUGUUGCAGAUGAUAGAACAUUAUCUAUUACAUAAAGAUCUUACUAAUUUAACACAAGGAAACCACACUUGCAAAUUCUUCUGUGGCAUCUCACUAUCUCUCUCAUGGGUUGACUGCAUGUGGGAGGAGGACAUUCAUUCAAGGAUUUGUUGUCACUGAUGAGAAAGAGUGGUUGAGAACACACAUCCGGGAAUCAUGGAGAUGGAGCUCUCUCUGUACCUUCAUAGCAAGUUGGGCAAACUGUUCCGCCUCUUACAGAGUCCUCAUAGUAAGACAGGAAUAGUACCAGUUAUUAUGUCAUAAGGUUGCUCAUACACUCAUUUGAAGACUAAUUAAGUACCAAGCACUGCUCUAGGUACCAGGGAGCCAGCAGUGAUCAAACAUUGCUGCCCUCCGGAAAUUUGCAUUCAAAUGAGAGGAAUGACACACAGUACAAGAGAUAAGUAAGUACACUGUUUAGUUUCAGAAAGUGAUCAGUGCUAUACAGAAAAAUAAAGCAGGGAAGGGUUGUUGUGACAUGUAAAUGAAAGAAUGUAUGUAAAGUCCUUAGAAUGCCUGACCUAUAAUGAUAGCAAAAACUUCAGCUGUUACCAAUUGAGCUGUACCGCAGGGACUCUUACAGUGAAAGAACUAAGUGUGGCCCUCAGAAUAGCACAUGGGCCUCACACACAACUUGGCAUGUAGUUAUGCUAUCCAUGACCACUGUGUCUCCAAUGCAAGUUUAAUAUUUUCCUGUUUUUACUCGUUGCAAACACUCAGGAAAAGUAUUUAGAACAAAAGAUAAAUUAUCCUUAAUGUCACCACUCAGAAGCAAUUUAACAUUUGGUAUGCAUCCUCGUAGGCUUUUCUCUUUUUCUUUGGAUGCACACACACACACACACACACACACAUUUUUUUUUUUUAAUUUUUAACAUUUUAUUUAUUUUUGAGACAGAAAGAGAGACAGAAUGCAAGCAGGGAGGGGCAGAGAGAGAGAGGGAGACACAGAAUCUGAAGCAGGCUCCAGGCUCUGAGCUGUCAGCACAGACCCUGACGUGAGGCUCAAAUUCAUGAACCUAGAGGUCAUGACCUGAGCCAAAGUCGGAUGCUUAACGGACUGAGCCACCCAAGUGCCCCCCCCCACACAUUUUUUAAAUGCAACUAAAAUUACUGUUACAUAACCUGCUUUUGUCACUUAAAGCUCUAUCUUCUGACAUCAACAGAUUCACAUUAGUAUUUUAAUGUCCAAUUAUAGUCCACUGGAAAGAGAAAUCUUUUUAUUUUUUUAUUUUUAGAGAGAGAGCAAGUGAGCAGGGAAGGGGCAGAACAAGAGUGAAAGAGAAAGACAGUUCAGCACAGAACCUGACCUGGGGCUCCAUUUCAUGACCAUGAGAUCACGACCUGAGCCAAAAUCAGAAGUUGGACGCUUAACUGACUAUGCCACCCAGGUGCCCCUGGAAAAAUGAAUCUUAAGCUAGUUUGUUAUUGAUAGAUAUUCAUCGACUUCCAAGUUUUUGUUUCUAUAAAAAUGCUUUGGUUUUAAAGGCACAACUUCACUGUUUGGCCUAGAGUUUUCCAUGGAUCUGUCAUGAGAAAGUAUGCAUUAUUUCCAUAUUUACUAUGAACUCUUAUCACCUUUUAAAAACCCAGCUGGGAAGAUUGAAUAAAAACUCCUUCAUGGUACCUAGUUUAAUUUAGAGUCAAUUCAGUGUAAUUACAUUUAACUGUAUUCAGUUUAGAUGUAUUUUUUAACAUCUUCCGUGUCAGGACACCAUGCUGAUUCCUGCUGGGAACCAAGAUGAGUAAGACGUAAUCCCUCCUUUCAAGGAGACCAAGACAGGAACAUAGAUAUUGGUAAUCAGCAUAUAGGCCAGAAGAAUCAUCGGAUCACAGACUAGGGAGAGGACAUAUCUAUCUGUUUGCUGUGACCAAAUAAUAAGAAAUGUUAGCCUUAUGUCACUAGUGUGUUGAAUAAGCAAGCCUCCUGAGACAGAGUCAUAAAUGAUGUACUGUUUUUGUCUCCUUGUGCCCUUUUAAGUUUACUCAGUAGAAGGAAGUUCUAAAUGAAAUUUUAGGCAGAGGAACUUGGGAGGCCUUACUUAGGUGGGCUUUCUUAGAAGAAAUGUGGAAACUAAGACCUGGUGAUUGAGUAAAAGUUGGCCAAAUUGAGGGGUGUGGGCUCUGGGGCAGGAGGAGGGAAGAGAAGAGUGUUCCUGAUGUAGAGUAAAGAUGAGGAGGUGAGAAAUAGCCUGAUGCCUUAGAGGGGUUCAAAGAUCAAUAUAGUUAUGUGGGAGGGAAGGAGAGGUGUACUGUGGAGGGCUUUUAUAGUGAGACAGAUUUUCUCUGAAUACCCCAGGUUUUAGCCUACAUUCAUACAAAGUGGGCAGUAAAUAAAUAUUUUUAAAAAUAAAGUCUGAAAAUCAUAUAAGUUUUUGGUUCCUUAACACAAUUUCCCUUCUCAUAAUUCAGAACCACCAUGCAUCAACUUCCCACUUCUCCUCACUGGAAAAUUGGAAGACUAUCUCCAAAUGGUUUUUGGACCUUAAGGCAGAGGGAGAAAAGUUUGCAUCCUUCAAGCAGAAGCUCCCAUGGAGUUUGUUGGUAAAGCAAGUUGUCUCAGGAAGUAAUGACUGAAGAUACAAUGCCUAGAAGUGUCACAGGCAACUUGCAACCUUGAGGAUAAAAUUCACAUGCUGAGCAUGAAGGAGCAUAAUGACAGAAGCUUGGAUUCUUUCUCAACGCCAUUGAAUGAAGAGAAAGCUGACAGUUGGAUGAAGAAAGGCCUUGUGGAGGAAGUGUCAUUAGAGCUGACCUUCAGGAGCAAGUUCAGUGUUACUGCAGGCAAUCCUGGGGAAGUUAUUACAGAAAGUGCAGAGGAGAUCACUGGAUCAGAGGUGAAAAGAACAUGCGAGCGACCCUGAGGAAGCCAGCAACUAAGCUGCCCCAGAAGUCAGGAGUCUUUCAGUCUUUUCCGUGCUUAGAGCCUCAUCAACCAAGACAGGUGUGUGGGGGGGGGGGGGGGGAUGACGGGGGAGGUUCCUCUCAAUCCCCUGGCUUUAGUCUUGCUCAGCAUUCUGGGGUGUGCUGGCUCAGGUCGAAGAAGCAGCACAUACUAACUUCCUUCCAGCUGCCUUAGUCAGCUGAGCCAAUUGCAUUGAGUGCUUGACAUCAAGGCUUCUCAAACAGAAUCCUGUUGGAAGUAAGAAACACAGACAGAGCUCUCCCCUCUUGUGUCUCGGCCUCUGAUAGGACAUUUUCAUAGAUGGUGCUCAUCUCCCAGUUGUAGUACUGGUGGUUGGGAUAGUGAUUACCUGUCUAGGUUGUGGCCUGGCUGGACUGAGGUCCCAUCUACUAACUUGCCCCAGGGAGGAGCCAAGGCUCAGUCAGAUAAAGCCUCUUCUCAUUACACGGAACACACCCACCCCAUCGGCCCAGUUCUACUGCUUUUGAUGUCAGGGAUGCAGACUUGGGCUGAUUAGUCCAUUCAAAGUAGAUUGAAAAAAAAGUCCCUAUUUAUUUAGUCAGGAUUGUGUUUCAACAACAAAACCCUGAAAAGCUCAGAGGCUUCAAAGUUUAUUUCUUAUUUUUGCUAUAUGUCCAUUAUGGGUUGGAUGUGGCUCUAUCCCAUCUUACCUUUACUCUGGGACCCAUGCUGAUGGAGCAGGGGGCCCUAACUGAAACAUUGCUAUUUAUCUCCUGGCAGGGAGGAGCUCAGUGAACCAUCCAUUAGCCCUUAAAACUUCUGCUGGGAAGUGAUCCAAGGCUCUUCUGCCCAGUUCCAUUGGCCAAAGUCAAUCAUAUGGCUAAGUUUUCUCUAAGGGGUAAGGAAGGGAUAAUCCACCCCCCCGCCCACCCCCCGGGAGCAGCAUGGAAUAUUUGUGAAAAAUGCUACAAUAUUCCACACUUGGUCACCAAGGGAGGUAUUCCUCAAUUUCAUCAUAAAUUUACCUUAACUGACAGGUACUGGUGUGGUUUUUAUUUACCAUCUUUUAAAACGGUGGGAAAACCUGAGUGGUAAGUACCAAUCUCCAGGUGAUUGGUGAAGGUCAUUCAUUUUGGGUGAAGAGCUGAGAAAUAACAGAUUCAAAGCGUAGUGUGUGUUGUAGGUUGGAGGCAUAGAGUAGGAGGCAAGAUGGGGGGAGAGAGAGGAGCUUGAGUGUGGUGGGCCUUAGGCACCAAGGGUUUAGAAUCAUUCUUUAGGCAGUGAAGUUUCAUUGAAGACUUCAGAGUGUUGGGGUGCACACUCUUCCUGCCAAGAGCCCCGAAGACAUUUAUAAAGGAUGAAAUGAAGGCUGGGUACUAGUUAGAAACCAUCACUAGGAGAAUAAUGGUGAAUUUGACUUCAGUUCCAGACAGAUUUAAGUUCAAGAUCUGCCUUUGAAAUAUCAUAGCCACAUGAUUCCAGGGAAGUUCCUCUACCUCUCUAAACCUUGGUUUGUUCCAUGUAAGACAGAGAUGAUAAUAGUAUUGCCUUCCAUGGUUUGCUGUGGGAACUAAGUAAAGUAACGUAUGUGAAGUGGUUAGCAAAACCCAAUACACCUAGAAAGCCCUUACAUGUGGGAAAGCAGAGACAAUGAAGAUUUAGAAUCAAUAGGAUCUGGUGAUUUUACGUGAAGAGUAAAGACAUGGGAGGAUUUGAAGAGAGUACCAACGUUCCCGGACUGGUGAAUGGUAAUGCCACUUACCUAUUCAGAAGCUGGUAACAGCUGGGGGAGGAAAAAUCCUGAGUCUGGGAUCCCAGGGAGACAUCCGUGGAGAAGGUUUCCAGCAGGUGCUUAGAAAUGUGAGCAAGGCUUAGUAGAUAGAACUUGUACAAUGAGUCAUUGGCUGAUUGUGUGGACAGAUGGUUUCUGGGGUCUCUUGUGGAAAAUACUUAAUUUUAUUUUAAUACUUACACAGCACUAAGAGCUGAGGAAAGAGACACUUCUCCAGGCUAAAGAUUCUGGACGUCAGUCAUUCUCACACUUGAAUAUAUCAGAAUUACCUGGAGGGCUUCUUUAUGCCCAGAAUUUCUGAUUCCGUAGGUCAAGAGGCUGGAAACUGGGUUUCCUCACCUCCUCCAAAUGCUCUGCUCUUAUGUUGUCUCUGUCUUAACUUACUCUUAGAGUAGACCUGGAAAAUGCUGACCCCACAAACAGGAGUGAUUACAUUCACACCAUCGAUCCUCAUGUCUAGAAUAAGAUUUAGGGAAAUGGCCUUUUGAGAAUACACAGCAGAUUGCUGGGAGAUCAGCAGCAAUUCAAUAUGACAGGUGUGGCAGAUUUUUUGAUUUGUAACAUCCCUAUGUUAUGAUUCAUAGAAUAAGUCUUUAGCCUAUGGACCUUAUUCAAGAGAUAUCAUCUGUCCUGAUGAACUAAACAAUCCAGAAAACCACAAUAAAUGCCUGUUGUGUGCAGAUCUUUGUCUCACUCAAUAGUCUGCCUUUAGCAGCAGCCGCUGUCACAGAGGGGAUCUUCCUUUAGGCAUUAGCAGGGGUGAGGGGUUGGGAUGGAAGAAGUGACAAUCCUAAACUCCCCUCAGUAAUAAAGACUGCACGGAUUUACAUCCCUGAAGAAUUUAUAGUUUUUGCCUGGAUGUAAAGCAUUCUCUUAGUUUACUAACAACUAUGUAAAAUACAGUAAUCCUUUCUUUUGUCCAAAGGACCAUCUAGUAGAAGCUUCUAAAGUUUCCCAUUACUUUUUUUUUUUGCAGUAUAAUUGACCUAAAAUAAACUGCACAUACUCAAAACGUACAGUGUGAUGAGUUUUGACAUAUAUUCACAUUCAUAAAACCAUCACCACACUUAAUAUAGUGAACAUAUCCAUUACCCUAAAAGUUUCCUUGUGCCCCUUUGUAAUCUAGAGACUACAAAGUCUUAGAGUGUGCUCUACUCCCUACAUGACCCUAUUCCUCAGCAAUCACUAAUCUGCCUUCUAUCACUAUAGGUUCGUUUACAUUUUCUAGAAUGUUGUAUAAAUAGAAUUAUAUCAUAUAUACUGUUUUUUUGUCAGGGGAGGGGUCUAGCUUCUUUCACUUAGCUGAAGUUUUUUGAGAUUCUUCAUGUUGUUGUAUGUAUCAAUGGCUCAUUCCUGUUUCUUUUUUUUUUUAAUUUUUUUAAUGUUUAUUCAUUUUUGAGAGAGAGACAGAGAGUAUGAGUGGGUGAGGGGCAGAGAGAGAGAGAGAGAGAGAGAGAGAGGCAGACAGAGAACUUGAAGCAGGCUCCAGGCUCUGAGAUGUCAGCACAGAGCCCAAUGCGGACCUCAAACCCAUGAACCACAAGAUCAUGACCUGAGCCAAAGUCGGACCCUCAACUGAUUGAGCCACCCAGGUAUCCCAGUUCAUUCCUGUUUCUUAUUGAGUAGUAUUUCACUGUAUAGAUAUACUCCACUUGUUUACUUAUCUGUUAAUGGGAAUUUACGUUGUUUCUACUUUGGGGCUAUUACAAGCACUGCUGCUAUGAAUAUUCACGUGAAAACUCAUGUACAUGCAGAUGCUUUCAUUUCCCUUGGGCAAAUACCUAGUAGUGAAAUGUCUUGAUCAUGUGAUGUACGUGUAAAGUUUUAAAGGAAUUGACAAAAUUUCUGAAGUGUUGGAACUAUUUAAGAUUCCUUAAGGAAUCUUAAUGGUGAAUGCAAGUCCCAAUUUUUCUGCUUUCCAGCCCAUAUUUAGUUUUGCCAGUCUUUUUCAUUUUAGCCAUUUUAAUAGAUAUGUAGAGGUAUCUUAUUGUGGUUUUAAUUUGCAUUUCCUUGAUGGUUAAUGAUGUUGAUUAUUUUUUUCAAGUGCUAUUUGCUAUUUGUGUGUAUAUAUAAAAACAUAUACAAUGUAUACAAAAUAUAUGUACGCAAUUUUUUGAUGAGGUAUUUAUUUUUAAAUUGAUUUGUUUGACUUUUCAUCAUUGAGUUGUAACAGGUUUUAAAAAUAU